UAUUAGAGGCAUUGCCUGCCCAGUGACUAAAGUUAAACGGCCGCGGUAUCCUGACCGUGCAAAGGUAGCAUAAUCACUUGUUCCUUAAUUAGGGACUAGAAUGAAUGGCUAAACGAGGGUUCAACUGUCUCUUACUUUCAAUCAGUGAAAUUGACCUUCCAGUGAAGAGGCUGGAAUACUACAAUAAGACGAGAAGACCCUAUGGAGCUUUAAUUUACUAGUUUAAUUUAUAUAAUAACAACCUAAUGGACCAAGACAAAAUAAAUAUAAACUAAAAAUUUCGGUUGGGGUGACCUCGGAGAAUARAAAAUCCUCCGAAUGAUUUUAACCUAGACCCACAAGUCAAAGUAAUAUUAAUAUCUUAUUGACCCAAUUAUUGAUCAACGGACCAAGUUACCCUAGGGAUAACAGCGCAAUCCUAUUUAAGAGUUCAUAUCGACAAUUAGGGUUUACGACCUCGAUGUUGGAUCAGGACAUCCCAAUGGUGCAGAAGCUAUUAAUGGUUCGUUUGUUCAACGAUUAAAGUCCUACGUGAUCUGAGU
RNAcentral lists this ribosomal RNA (542 nucleotides) under Rattus rattus kandianus. RNAcentral's name for it is "partial 16S ribosomal RNA". It matches the Rfam family "Bacterial large subunit ribosomal RNA", at positions 1844 to 2610 of the family's 2925-position model. The record is from RNAcentral. Lineage: Eukaryota; Metazoa; Chordata; Mammalia; Rodentia; Muridae.